AAAGGAUUACACUAAUUUUGCAGAACAAAACAAGUCAAUUCACCAAAUACAUAGCAUAACAUGUAUAUGUGUUCAUCCAAACGGAACGGUUUUUAUUACAAUCGAUUUGAUUUUAUGAAACAAGAUGUGUCACAUGACAUGUGGUAUUGGCUGUUGUGUAUUGGUGAUUGCAAUAGCCAUAGUUUUGAGUUACAAAAAGGAAGAAAUAUCUUGUUUCUUUAGUUGUUCAUAUGAUUGCUACCUUGAUCAAUCUGGUCUUAAAAGUGGACCACAUGUAUGUAAACUGUCUUAUGCAGCAGCAUUCGGGCGACGUUUCUAUGAAAGAAAGAAUAUUCUAUCAUUUAAAGAUACUUAUGUGACAACGAAAGAUAUUUUAAGUAUGUGCGGACUAUGGUGCUUUAAAAUGCCGAAGAUUUAGGAUCUAGAACCAAAAUACGCUGCCAAAAAAGAUUGUUGUGCAAAAUGUUGAGUACAAGCUGUAGUUGUGUAAGAAAUACUGAUAUGCUAUAUAAUAUUAG
Long non-coding RNA from Mytilus trossulus (common blue mussel), 518 nucleotides. RefSeq lists it as uncharacterized. Lineage: Eukaryota; Metazoa; Mollusca; Bivalvia; Mytilida; Mytilidae. The record is from RefSeq and is a predicted model, not a curated record. The transcript is spliced from 3 exons.